GACGAACGCUGGCGGCGUGCUUAACACAUGCAAGUCGAACGGAAAGGCCCUGCUUUUGUGGGGUGCUCGAGUGGCGAACGGGUGAGUAACACGUGAGUAACCUGCCCUUGACUUUGGGAUAACUUCAGGAAACUGGGGCUAAUACCGGAUAGGAGCUCCUGCUGCAGGGUGGGGGUUGGAAAGUUUCGGCGGUUGGGGAUGGACUCGCGGCUUAUCAGCUUGUUGGUGGGGUAGUGGCUUACCAAGGCUUUGACGGGUAGCCGGCCUGAGAGGGUGACCGGCCACAUUGGGCCUGAGAGACGGCCCAGACUCCUACGGGAGGCAGCAGUGGGGAAUAUUGCACAAUGGGCGCAAGCCUGAUGCAGCAACGCCGCGUGCGGGAUGACGGCCUUCGGGUUGUAAACCGCUUUCGCCUGUGACGAAGCGUGAGUGACGGUAAUGGGUAAAGAAGCACCGGCUAACUACGUG
This 468-nucleotide ribosomal RNA is filed under the name uncultured bacterium. RNAcentral's name for it is "partial 16S ribosomal RNA". It matches the Rfam family "Bacterial small subunit ribosomal RNA", at positions 28 to 507 of the family's 1533-position model. The record is from RNAcentral.